GCGACCCCAGGUCAGGCGGGACUACCCGCUGAGUUUAAGCAUAUCAAAAA
Molecule: ribosomal RNA, 50 nt
Filed under: Pentanema ensifolium
Lineage: Eukaryota; Viridiplantae; Streptophyta; Magnoliopsida; Asterales; Asteraceae
Description: Inula ensifolia partial 26S ribosomal RNA
Source: RNAcentral